ACCAGACUGACUAACUUGUCUCUCACUCACUCUAAAAACUGUACAGUUCAAGACAGAAAUACAAUAUACAAAGAACAGAGAACAAACUCCAAAAAUGAAACGAGAGCCACUGAAAGACAUUACCAACGUGCAAACGGAUAAGAAAAUGACCCAACAGUACACCAAAAAUGGGCAACCAGCCCGCAGAUGCUUCGAGAUCUUUAGAGGAUCUAACUGAUGGGCGGACCAGAGAGUGAGUGUCAGAGAGGAGUCCGAAUAGUAUUAUCAUGUUCAUGGUUAUUUUGGAAAUCUGAAGAACUCACACAGAAUAGAGAAACACACAAAAGACACAAUCUUAAACCACAAGAAAUAAACGACGAAUUUAAUUUUUAUUGGGGUGGGUUGUGUACGUGUCGAUCGGACAUUGCAAUUAUUUUUGAAUAUUUAAUAUGCAUAUUUGCACAUAUAUAUGUAUGUAUUAACUUGUUAGUAAUUUUCUAUUUGUUUCGCCUGUUCUUCCAUCCUUUACGAUUUCUUUUAG
RNAcentral lists this long non-coding RNA (520 nucleotides) under Drosophila guanche. Lineage: Eukaryota; Metazoa; Arthropoda; Insecta; Diptera; Drosophilidae. The record is from RNAcentral.